This 492-nucleotide ribosomal RNA is filed under the name uncultured bacterium. Its description in RNAcentral is "partial 16S ribosomal RNA". It matches the Rfam family "Bacterial small subunit ribosomal RNA", at positions 29 to 507 of the family's 1533-position model. The record is from RNAcentral.
AGUGAACGCUGGCGGUAGGCCUAACACAUGCAAGUCGAACGGCAGCACAGUAAGAGCUUGCUCUUACGGGUGGCGAGUGGCGGACGGGUGAGGAAUACAUCGGAAUCUACUUUUUCGUGGGGGAUAACGUAGGGAAACUUACGCUAAUACCGCAUACGACCUACGGGUGAAAGCAGGGGAUCUUCGGACCUUGCGCGAUUGAAUGAGCCGAUGUCGGAUUAGCUAGUUGGCGGGGUAAAGGCCCACCAAGGCGACGAUCCGUAGCUGGUCUGAGAGGAUGAUCCGCCACACUGGAACUGAGACACGGUCCAGACUCCUACGGGAGGCAGCAGUGGGGAAUAUUGGACAAUGGGCGCAAGCCUGAUCCAGCCAUACCGCGUGGGUGAAGAAGGCCUUCGGGUUGUAAAGCCCUUUUGUUGGGAAAGAAAAGCAGCAGGUUAAUACCCCGCUGUUCUGACGGUACCCAAAAAAUAAGCACCGGCUAACUUCGUG